RNAcentral lists this transfer RNA (71 nucleotides) under Dreissena polymorpha. RNAcentral's name for it is "tRNA-Lys". The stretch from base 7 to 66 matches the Rfam family "tRNA", at positions 7 to 64 of the family's 71-position model. Rfam says of the family: Transfer RNA (tRNA) molecules are approximately 80 nucleotides in length. The record is from RNAcentral. Lineage: Eukaryota; Metazoa; Mollusca; Bivalvia; Myida; Dreissenidae.
UCACGGAUGGCAGAGUGGUCUAAGCGAUAGACUUUUACUCUAGAGGUCAGUGGUUCGAGCCCAUUUGAGAG